AACGAACGCUGGCGGCAUGCCUAACACAUGCAAGUCGAACGAGACCUUCGGGUCUAGUGGCGCACGGGUGCGUAACACGUGGGAACCUGCCCUUAGGUUCGGAAUAACUCCCCGAAAGGGGUGCUAAUACCGGAUAAUUUCUUCGGACCAAAGAUUUAUCGCCUUUGGAUGGGCCCGCGUUGGAUUAGCUAGUUGGUAGGGUAAAAGCCUACCAAGGCGACGAUCCAUAGCUGGUCUGAGAGGAUGAUCAGCCACACUGGGACUGAGACACGGCCCAGACUCCUACGGGAGGCAGCAGUGGGGAAUAUUGGACAAUGGGCGAAAGCCUGAUCCAGCAAUGCCGCGUGAGUGAUGAAGGCCUUAGGGUUGUAAAGCUCUUUUACCCGGGAUGAUAAUGACAGUACCGGGAGAAUAAGCACCGGCUAACUCCGUG
RNAcentral lists this ribosomal RNA (433 nucleotides) under uncultured bacterium. RNAcentral's name for it is "partial 16S ribosomal RNA". It matches the Rfam family "Bacterial small subunit ribosomal RNA", at positions 29 to 507 of the family's 1533-position model. The record is from RNAcentral.